This 537-nucleotide ribosomal RNA is filed under the name Pseudo-nitzschia galaxiae. Its description in RNAcentral is "partial large subunit ribosomal RNA". It matches the Rfam family "Eukaryotic large subunit ribosomal RNA", at positions 43 to 651 of the family's 3401-position model. Lineage: Eukaryota; Bacillariophyta; Bacillariophyceae; Bacillariales; Bacillariaceae. The record is from RNAcentral.
UAAUUAAGCGGAGGAAAAGAAACUAACUAGGAUUCCCUCAGUAACGGCGAGUGAAGCGGGACUAGCUCAGGAUGUGAAUCUGCGCUUUUAUGGCGCCGAAUUGUGGUCUAUAGACUUUGACGUUAUCUGCCGGGCCAAGUUCCUUGGAAAAGGACAGCUGAGAGGGUGACACUCCCGUCCGCCUGGUAGAGUGAGUCUUUGUCAACGAGUCGAGUUGUUUGGGAUUGCAGCUCUAAUUUGGUGGUAAAUUCCAUCUAAAGCUAAAUAUUGGUGGGAGACCGAUAGCGUACAAGUACCGUGAGGGAAAGAUGCAAAGAACUUUGAAAAGAGAGUUAAAGAGUACCUGAAAUUGCUGAAACGGAAGCGAAGGAAACCAGUGUUUGUUGGUUCAUAUUUCCCUUGUCACUUGUGAUGCGGGCGCUGUGAGCUUGCGUGGGUUUGCUUUGGUUGAUUCCUUUGGAAGAGCGCAGUCAGAGUUGAUGUCUGUUGCUAGCACUGGUUUUGACUUAAGCAGACGAAAUGGUUUCCUCCGACCCG